Molecule: non-coding RNA, 3051 nt
Organism: Podarcis muralis (Common wall lizard)
Lineage: Eukaryota; Metazoa; Chordata; Lepidosauria; Squamata; Lacertidae
Source: RefSeq, a predicted model, not a curated record
UAACCCGAGGUACCACUGUAUUCUCAUCCCUUCCAGCUCUACAGCUCUAUUAUUGUUUGAUUCUGUGAGGCAUGUAAAGAGUUAACUGAACUGAAUGCAGACUUGCAAGCAGCAAAGUCAGUUAAACUGUCAACUGUCAACCUGGGGAAGAUUUCUGGCUUUAUAUUCAAAACCAAAGGGGGGCUGUUUUAACUGGCCAGUAAGUGGACAUUCCGCCUCAUCUCAUUGGCCCAUAACUACAAACCAUUCACAGGACAGGAUUUCACUCAGAUGGUAGUGAUAAAAGGCCAGGUUCAGUACUGGUCAGACUAGAGUAGCUGUUGGAGUGGAACAGCGAGGGCUUAGGGGAGCUAGGUGAAGAGGUUUGUUUCUGAAGGGAAGUUGGAGAUGAAACCGAGGAACUGGUAUCACCAGGGCAAAGAGAUGAAGGUCUGCCAGGAGGAGAGCAAGGUUUUGUGGCUAUUGCCAAAUGACAGCUGGUUGUUCUGAACAGCAACCCUAAGAAGAUUGAAGGGACCCAAGAGUGAAGGACAUGUGUGACUUGCUUUUUUGAAUGACCCCUUAGCGGAGGAUUUUGUUAACAUGCUUGCACUUGGGGGCUCUGGAGACUUCUACUUGGAUCAACAAGAAACAUUGAUUCUAACAUGUUCCAAAGGAUUUGUGACAUUCUCAGCGUGUGUGAAACUCAAAUCACCCCCCACAGGCCCACCGUCUGAUGACAUGUGGAAAGCUUUCCUCGCUAUUUGUCCUUGGAAAUGUGUUUCUUUCCGGAGGGAAGAUCUCUAAAGAGCUGGCUAUUGUCCUUCCCGCUGUGGAGUCCCUUCUCUUCUUCAGAAGAGAGUGACCUUGACCUCGGAUAGACCCUACCGAGGAGGAGGAAGCCCCCGGAAGUUGUUCAGCUGCCCUUGAUUUUUCCCAGGAGGGCGACCAGUGGUGGCAAAGAAGAGCAUGGGCUCACCCUGAUGUUUAGCAUUUUUGUGUUUACAGAAAAACAACAACACCCCCCCCCAAAAAAACCUUGCUGGAAAGUGGGUUUUCGCCAUCAUUCUCUCUUUUCUGAAGGGGGUGUCUGUGUGUGAUGGUGGGGAAGGUUUCUGAACAGUCUUCUCUGCCCGAUGGAGAUGCGGGGGGGGGGGGUGCGACGAGGAAAUAGCAAGACCCUGCAGUCAGCUCCAGGACCUGUUUUUGAAAUGCCACUGCGCAAGAAGAAGCAGGAACAAUGAAGACAUCUCGUGGCACCUUGAAGACGUGGCAAAUGAAGCAUUGGAAUUGCCCUGCUGGAUCCGACUAAGGUCCGUCUAGCGCAGCAUCCUUCGGUUUCCAGUUCACCAGCCGGGCAGGAAGGUGACUUCGGGCCCUGGGGGUGUUCAGACGUCAACAGGAAGACCUCGUGCGGCUCCAGAGCGUUUCAGAAAUGAUGCUCCAUUCAUUGGUUUCAUUCGCUGGCUUGUUAAGCCAGCUAAGCUAAAGGUCACCCCUACACCUUGUCGCGGGUCAUUCCACAAGAGAAUGAGGGACCAUCUCUGUUCACAAACUUGUCCGGCACGGACUGAGGUAUAAGCCAGAGCCUCAAACCGAGGCACAAACGCACAGGAGCCUUUCGCGGCGCAAGGAAACAAAGAAACUGUUUGGCAAAGCAAGGCUGAAGGCAGCACACUACGAAUCAAUUGAUUUAAGUUAACACGAUUCCAUUAACAACAGAGUGCCUCUGGGCAUGUGAGGAGUGCUUCCUUCAGCAAGUACUGACAGCUGCGGGCGUUCCAGAGGGAGAACAUUUCCACUCUGCAAAAGGGGCGCCCGUCAGUAUUAAUAACAACUAUUAUUAUUAUUAUUAUUAUUAUUAUUAUUAUUAUUAUUAUUAAUUUGUACCGCGCCCAUCUGACUGGGUUGCCCUUGACAGGGGCCUCCCCAACUUUUGGCACCCAAGUGGAUGGGAACACCCCUAAUUCCUAGAGGAAGGGGGGAAAGUAGGGGGCAUAGCUGUCAACGUUUCCCCCUUUUUAAGGGAAAUUCCCUUAUUCCGAAUAGGAUUCCUCGCAAGAAAAGGGAAAAGUUGGCAGCUAUGGUAGGAGGUGUUCAUACUCUGGUUGUUCUUGUGUGCGUUUGCCGGCCUACUUCUUACAGCGGAAAAAAACCCAAACCUAGUCCUAAAUGGGCGAUCCUAUUGGCUCAGAAAGAAAAUCCCCCCCGGAGCGUUUGUUCCUUCGGCUGGUUUUCAGCCAGGCUGGAUGUCAUGUCUUUUCUGGUGCAACCCAGGGAGUUUUAAGGCCACUCUCGUUCAAAGAGGCGACCGAAGUGCAAGCCAUGGGGGGUGGGGGAGCGGAGAAGAGAGAGGAAGAAAGAGAGAGAGAAUGUUAAUCGCGAAGGAAUUUCCUUUCCCCCCCCCCCGCGCCCCUCCCUCCUCGAUCUGGUUUCUGAAAUCCGGGCGCAAAAUGCUGCCCCUUCUUCCCUUCCCUCCAGUCAACCCGCGAGUUUCCCCUUAGCGGAAAUGUUCCUCCGCUGAAAGGGGCGCGAAUGGCCGGGCUUCCUCCCCCGCCUCCGCCUCCGCCUCCCCCGCAGAGUCGCUUUAAUUAAAGUCACAAAGUCGCGGUUGAUUCUCGGCUUGGCUUCUGCGCCUUGAAUCGGCUUUCCCCGCCUCCUGCCUCUCCCCCCCCCUUCUUUUUUUCCCUCCUUGGAGUUGACUCGGAUGCAGUUGAACACUCGCUGGGGUAGCUUCGUCCAGAUGUUGCAGCAGCUUUUCAGGGGGACAGAGCAGACAAUGCAUAGGAUAAAGCCAUCUCCUAGGGGCCGAGGUCCCUUUGGCCCCCCAGUAAAAUAUUUCAGAAGGCGGCCUCCCAGAGUUGAUGGGCAUUGCUUACCUGCCCCCCAAUAUGCUAUUCAAGUUGGCACUCCUGGACAGAUGCGUGUCAUCCCCCCCCCCAGCCUUCCCACUCCUCUUUUCUCCGCCCAACUUCCUUCUCUCUCUUCUCCCCUUCUUCAAACUUUGCCUUUGGAAAGGGUUGAACAACAACAAACCCACCUCUGGAUCGGCCCUUAUUUGACCUUUGUCGU